UCGAGAGAAACAUAAAAUGACGGAUGGUUGUGAAUGUGUGAAUGUGUCCCUUUCCUCGCCCCGCCCCAUGUCGGCGGGCGAUUGACCGUAGCUCGGUGCGAUCAGCACUAAGAAACAAUGAACUCGGAAGCAAAGGGUCCCUUGGCGUGCGCAAGGAGAGCCCAAUGCGUCGGAGAUUCCUCGGAAUCAAAUGACUCUCGGCAAUGGAUAUCUCGGCUCUUGCAUCGAUGAAGAACGUAGUGAAAUGCGAUACUUGGUGUGAAUUGCAGAAUCUCGUGAACCAUUGAGUCUUUGAACGCAAGUUGUGCCCGAGGCCUUGUGGUCGAGGGCACGCCUGCUUGGGCGUCAUGGCAUCGUCGCCUUUGCUCCAUGCAUGCAUGCAUGCACUGCCUGAGCCUACCGAGUAAAUUGAUUCCCCGCGCGCGCCCUCACACACAGUCGAACAAAGAGAAGUCAGUCAUCAAUCGGCAGGAUGGAUGUAGGUCGCCCUGCGCGAGAACAAACCGACCUCCUCCCUCUUCUUUAUCAAACCCUCCCUAGACACAUCCUUGCGUGAUUGCUUCCUACGUCGAAAGUACCUGGCCCGUCCACUAACUU
Molecule: ribosomal RNA, 597 nt
Filed under: Scaphochlamys polyphylla
Lineage: Eukaryota; Viridiplantae; Streptophyta; Magnoliopsida; Zingiberales; Zingiberaceae
Description: eukaryotic LSU rRNA
Rfam family: 5.8S ribosomal RNA (bases 193-348)
Source: RNAcentral